AUGGCGGCGGCGCUGGCGCCGGGGGUGUCCCGGAAGCUGAAGAAGGUGCUCGAGACGCGGACGGACAGCCCAGAUCUGCUGGCCUCGCUGGGCGCGCUCUCCACCUUCUACGAGCACAACACCCCGCAGGCGCGCCGCAACCUCAAGUCCUCCGUCGAGCAGCGCGCGCUCGCCAUCAACCGCCACUUCCUCGACGCCUCCCUCCCCGCCCAGAAGGCGUUGGAUCGCGUCGAGGGGGAAGUGCACGCGCUGGACGAUUCCUGGAAGAAGAUUGAGGAAGCAUUGAGCAGCUGUAGUGCAAGUACAGGGGAUAUCAUCAGUACAACGGAGAGGUUGCAACAAGAACUUGAGGUUAUCACUCAGCGCCAGGAAAUUGUAUCAUGUUUCCUGCGGGAUUACCAACUUUCAAAUGAAGAGAUACAUGCACUCCGGGAAGAAGAUAUAGAUGAGAAAUUCUUUAAGGCACUAUUGCAUGUCCAAGAAAUCCAUUCGAACUGCAAGGUUCUGCUGCGAACACACCACCAGCGUGCUGGUUUGGAACUUAUGGAUAUGAUGUCCGUGUACCAAGAAGGAGCUUAUGAAAGAUUAUGCAGGUGGGUUCAAGUUGAGUGUAAAAAACUAGGUGAUACUGAUAAUCCUGAAGUAAGUGAACUUUUGAAGAAGGCUGUUCGGUGCCUGAAGGAAAGGCCUGUUCUGUUCAAGUACUGCGCAGAAGAGGUUGCCAAUAUGAGGCAUCAUGCCUUAUUCAGGCGGUUUAUAAGUGCUCUUACUAGAGGUGGACCCGGAGGGCUCCCAAGACCAAUAGAAGUGCAUGCUCAUGAUCCUCUUCGUUAUGUAGGCGAUAUGCUGGGAUGGCUACAUCAGGCACUUGCAUCUGAAAGGGAGCUUAUAGCUGCGCUGCUUGAUCCGGAUGCAAUAAGUGACAGUGGUCCAGCUAAUCAUCGUCAUUCUGUAAGAGAAGGUGAUUCAUCCAAAGGAGAAUCUGAUUUCACUUUUGUUCUCGAUAGAAUAUUUGAAGGGGCAUGCCGACCGUUUAAAGUUCGAGUCGAGCAAGUUCUGCAGUCACAACCAAGUCUGAUAGUUUCUUACAAACUUAGUAAUACCCUGGAAUUUUAUGGUUACACGAUAUCAGAACUGCUGGGUGUAGACACAUCAUUGUGCAAUACAAUAUGGUCACUUAGAGAUGCAACACAGCGGACAUUCUUCAACAUCCUGAAGAGCCGUGGAGAAAAGUUAUUGCGAUAUCCUCCACUUGUUGCGGUUGACCUCUCUCCCCCACCAGCAGUGAGGGAGGGAGUUUCUCUGUUGCUUGAGCUCAUAAGUACCUACAAUAGCAUGAUGAUUUCUGCCUCUGGAAAAGGGUUAAACUUUGAUCCAGUCAUUUCUGCAAUAUUGGAUCCUAUAAUUCAGAUGUGUGAGCAAGCCGCAGAGGCACAAAAGUCAAAAGGUGCACUUGCACGGCGUGGUAGAACUAGUUCUGAACCUAUCGGAAGUAAGAUAGAUUCAAUCUCAGUUGAUGCUAUUCUAUCAAAGAAAUCAUCAACAUCUGUCCUGAGUGGUGAAUCUUCGUCCAAAGUUUACCUCAUCAACUGCUUAUCAGCUAUUGAGGAACCAUUGAUGGAUCAGGAGGUUGCUACAAGCUAUGUGAAAAACCUUCGCUCUAUGAUCGAAACACACACGCGUGCCUUGGUAGAUAAAGAAGCUGAUAGCAUUCUCAGUAAGUGUGGAUUGUCAAGUAAGAUGCCAUACAUGAAGAACUACAGCUCUACUGACGGCGAGGAUGAUGCAAGACCUCUGGCAGAUGUUGUGGAGACAUCACCACAAAUGCUUCUGGAGUGCUUGAAAGCUUUCUAUGGUAUUGUGACUGGAACAGAAGGCUCCUUGCCGGAAUUCGAGCAGCUGCAGGUUCCAAGGUUACGCUCAGACGCGUGCUAUGGUUUGGCGAGAGCACUAGCAGAAGCUUACGAGCUCAUUUACAAGGCGGUGAUGGAUCCAAAGAACUGUUAUCCUGACCCAAGAUCGUUGGUCAAGCAUUCGCCGGAGCAGAUAAGAACUAUACUGGAAAUCUGA
RNAcentral lists this ribosomal RNA (2070 nucleotides) under Triticum aestivum (bread wheat). Its description in RNAcentral is "partial small subunit ribosomal RNA". Lineage: Eukaryota; Viridiplantae; Streptophyta; Magnoliopsida; Poales; Poaceae. The record is from RNAcentral.